AAACCAGCACCUAAAGUGGUCAGGAUGAUUAUUGGGCCUAAAGCAUCCGUAGCCUGGUGCAUAAGUUUUCGGUUAAAUCCAUAUGCUCAACAUAUGGGCUGCCGGGAAUACUGUGCACCUAGGGAGUGGGAGAGGAAGACGGUACUCGGUAGGAAGGGGUAAAAUCCUUUGAUCUAUUGAUGACCACCUGUGGCGAAGGCGUCUAACGAGAACGGAUCCGACGGUGAGGAACGAAAGCCAGGGGAGCAAUCCGGAUUAGAUACCCGAGUAGUCC
RNAcentral lists this ribosomal RNA (274 nucleotides) under uncultured bacterium. Its description in RNAcentral is "partial 16S ribosomal RNA". It matches the Rfam family "Archaeal small subunit ribosomal RNA", at positions 473 to 747 of the family's 1478-position model. The record is from RNAcentral.